RNAcentral lists this ribosomal RNA (563 nucleotides) under Spathidium spathula. RNAcentral describes it as "LSU rRNA". It matches the Rfam family "Eukaryotic large subunit ribosomal RNA", at positions 47 to 679 of the family's 3401-position model. The record is from RNAcentral. Lineage: Eukaryota; Ciliophora; Litostomatea; Haptorida; Spathidiidae.
UAAGCGGAGGAAAAGAAACUAACUAAGAUUGCCUUAGUAAGGGCGACUGAACCGGCAAGAGCUCAAAAUUGGAAUCGAAAAUUCAACGAAUUUUCGAAUUGUAAUCAGGUCCGCCUAAAUACGUAUAUUUACUUAAGCUUGUUGAAUCAAGCGCCAUAGAGGGUGAAAGCCCCGUGUAGUAUUUGUACGAGAAAGGGGGAUUCCAUAAGAGUCGGGUUGCUUGGAACUGCAGCCCUAAGCGGGAGAUAUGAAUCUUCCAAAGCUAAAUAUGGAUGGGAGACCGAUAGCGAACAAGUACUGUGAAGGAAAGAUGAAAAGGACUUUGAAAAGAGAGUGAAAAGAUCUGAAAUCGUUGAGAAGGAAGCGGUAGAAACUGAUGGUCGUACUGAUAGGAUUAUGGGCUGACUCAGUCCAGAGUUCUUACCAAAGCGACGGGCAAAAUCAAGUUAAAUGCAUCAAAAAAGGCUUAGCCGUGUAAGGUGUAUUUAGCUUGAGGGACUAUUGUGAUUUUGCCAAAAUGGUUUUUACUGUCCCGUCUUGAAACACGGACCAAGGAGUCUAAC